RNAcentral lists this long non-coding RNA (1452 nucleotides) under Cyanistes caeruleus (blue tit). RNAcentral's name for it is "lncRNA (ENSCCEG00000005916.1)". Lineage: Eukaryota; Metazoa; Chordata; Aves; Passeriformes; Paridae. The record is from RNAcentral.
AAAUUCGGGAGUUUGAGGAUAGGGAGGACACAUGAGACCAGCGUGCCUUUGGUUUGUUCGGUCCUGAAAGUGGAAUAUUACUAAGGAAGAUUUCUGAAGGAUAGCAAAAUAAGUCUGAUUCAGGAGAGGAAACAUAGAUGUGAAGUUUGAUGAUUUCCACACAGAACUGUCUUGGGGCAGUCUGGAUUUAUGGGCUAAAGUCUGCAGGUGCUCCUGCUGAUUCAGACAGUGACAUACUGCUGAAAUUGCGAUAGCAGUGAUACCUGUUACUGUGCACGCUGCAUGAAUCAAGUGGCUGAACUGCCUCCUGAUACAAUCAGCGCUUUCAGUUUACUCCAUCUGUAUAUGCAGUACAAGUUCCUGUUUAUUUCACAGCGUGUGUUUGUAUAAUCAGUGUUCACAUCUUCGGUUCGCGUGCUUUGUCCUGAAGGACAAGCCACAGGGCAGAUGGUCAAGGAAAUGAAUGCGACUUUACUGUGUGAUGGGUGCUGGGACACUCUUGAUGCACUUGUGUGCGUGGGGAUGGUUCCCGUUCACUGCGUGAACCUGUGACCCAAAACAGCGUCCCGGCUGGAAUGUGCAGGCGGUGCAGACGCUGCUGCCACCCACGGCUCUUACGGGACAUUGCCCUGAGUGCAGUGGAAAGGUUGAGACUACUUUGCUGCCAGGUACCGGCUUCCAUGUGCAAGAUAAAUGAGGAGCUCAGUGUGGGACCCUUAAAGCAGAUUGAGCAGCAAAGUUAGUUGAGUAUUUUUGAAUCCCUGAUGUUCAUCGCUUGUGCCAUAUGUACAGGUAGGUAUCAAUCACAAUUUCCUUUCUAAAUAUAAUGCCUUUCCCAAGGAAUUACAAAUGAAGACCUUUAAUAAGUCAAAGGGCUGAAAUUUCAAUUUAGUAAAUUAAUAUUUUUUCUCAGCACUUUGUUUUAUUAACAAUUCAGAACCAGGCUUACAAAUCAAAACAUCUUUUGUCAGGAUUUUUUUUGUUGUUGCAAUUACAAAUGACUGCAAUUUGUUGUUCAUUGUACAAAGUAGAAUCAUUGUCCUGAGUAAACGGAUGUAAGAUUGGAGCUAAAUACUUUGUGCACUGCCUUCAAAACAGCUAACAAAUUUCUGUACAAGAAAGCAUAUUUACACCUUUAUGCACAUAGGAAGUUUGAUAUCAGCUUUUUCACUUAAGGGAGAAUAAGAACAUAUUGCAUAUUAUUUUUUCAGAGCAAUGAAUUAGUUAAAAUACCAAAAAUGCAAUUUUUAUAGUAGCGUAGAAAGACCUUCUUAAUAACAUAGGGGUUUAUAGUUAUGUACUUUUAAGUAUGGAAGCCUUACCCUGGUGUAAACAUCUGAGAUGAAGCUAUGAAUCAUGUCACUGAAAUGGGACAGCAGCUUCAACAGGAUUGACAGAAAAGGGCAUGAAAGUGAGAAUAAAUGUUCAGAAGUUAUAGUUUAAUUUGUUAGG